UACAGAGACUGCAAGCGUUAUUCGGAUUCACUGGGCGUAAAGGGCGCGUAGGCGGCCGCCUAAGUCAGACGUGAAAUCCCUCGGCUCGACCGGGGAACUGCGUCUGAUACUGGGUGGCUUGAAUCCGGGAGAGGGAUGCGGAAUUCCAGGUGUAGCGGUGAAAUGCGUAGAUAUCUGGAGGAACACCGGUGGCGAAGGCGGCAUCCUGGACCGGCAUUGACGCUGAGGCGCGAAAGCCAGGGGAGCAAACGGG
This 253-nucleotide ribosomal RNA is filed under the name uncultured bacterium. Its description in RNAcentral is "partial 16S ribosomal RNA". It matches the Rfam family "Bacterial small subunit ribosomal RNA", at positions 524 to 776 of the family's 1533-position model. The record is from RNAcentral.